Molecule: microRNA, 23 nt
Organism: Caenorhabditis elegans
Lineage: Eukaryota; Metazoa; Nematoda; Chromadorea; Rhabditida; Rhabditidae
Source: Ensembl
UGUGAAUUGAGACUGUGUAUAAG